RNAcentral lists this ribosomal RNA (932 nucleotides) under human oral metagenome. Its description in RNAcentral is "bacterial LSU rRNA". It matches the Rfam family "Bacterial large subunit ribosomal RNA", at positions 1934 to 2860 of the family's 2925-position model. The record is from RNAcentral.
CCGUAACUAUAACGGUCCUAAGGUAGCGAAAUUCCUUGUCGGGUAAGUUCCGACCCGCACGAAUGGCGUAACGAUGGCCACACUGUCUCCUCCCGAGACUCAGCGAAGUUGAAGUGGUUGUGAAGAUGCAAUCUACCCGCUGCUAGACGGAAAGACCCCGUGAACCUUUACUGUAGCUUUGCAUUGGACUUUGAAGUCACUUGUGUAGGAUAGGUGGGAGGCUUUGAAGCAGAGACGCCAGUCUCUGUGGAGCCGUCCUUGAAAUACCACCCUGGUGUCUUUGAGGUUCUAACCCAGACCCGUAAUCCGGGUCGGGGACCGUGCAUGGUAGGCAGUUUGACUGGGGCGGUCUCCUCCCAAAGAGUAACGGAGGAGUUCGAAGGUUACCUAGGUCCGGUCGGAAAUCGGACUGAUAGUGCAAUGGCAAAAGGUAGCUUAACUGCGAGACCGACAAGUCGAGCAGGUGCGAAAGCAGGACAUAGUGAUCCGGUGGUUCUGUAUGGAAGGGCCAUCGCUCAACGGAUAAAAGGUACUCCGGGGAUAACAGGCUGAUUCCGCCCAAGAGUUCAUAUCGACGGCGGAGUUUGGCACCUCGAUGUCGGCUCAUCACAUCCUGGGGCUGUAGUCGGUCCCAAGGGUAUGGCUGUUCGCCAUUUAAAGUGGUACGUGAGCUGGGUUUAAAACGUCGUGAGACAGUUUGGUCCCUAUCUGCAGUGGGCGUUGGAAGUUUGACGGGGGCUGCUCCUAGUACGAGAGGACCGGAGUGGACGAACCUCUGGUGUACCGGUUGUAACGCCAGUUGCAUAGCCGGGUAGCUAAGUUCGGAAGAGAUAAGCGCUGAAAGCAUCUAAGCGCGAAACUCGCCUGAAGAUGAGACUUCCCUUGCGGUUUAACCGCACUAAAGAGUCGUUCGAGACCAGGACGUUGAUAGG